RNAcentral lists this ribosomal RNA (253 nucleotides) under uncultured bacterium. RNAcentral's name for it is "partial 16S ribosomal RNA". It matches the Rfam family "Bacterial small subunit ribosomal RNA", at positions 524 to 776 of the family's 1533-position model. The record is from RNAcentral.
UACAGAGGGUGCAAGCGUUGUUCGGAAUUACUGGGCGUAAAGCGCGUGUAGGUGGCGAUGUAAGUCGGAUGUGAAAUCCCUCGGCUCAACCGAGGAAGUGCACCCGAUACUGCGUCGCUUGAGUACUGGAGGGGAUGGCGGAAUUCCUGGUGUAGAGGUGAAAUUCGUAGAUAUCAGGAGGAACACCUGUGGCGAAGGCGGCCAUCUGGACAGUGACUGACACUGAGACGCGAAGGCGUGGGUAGCAAACAGG